Camellia sinensis is the source of this 772-nucleotide non-coding RNA. The record is from RefSeq and is a predicted model, not a curated record. Lineage: Eukaryota; Viridiplantae; Streptophyta; Magnoliopsida; Ericales; Theaceae.
AAAUGUCUCUCCCCGAACGGCCCGAAAAUGGUACACGCUUUCUGUCUGUCCUUUUUCUUCUUCCGUAUCUCUCUUUCUCAUUCCCAACAGUCUCUCUCCUCUCUCAACUCUUGAAAAUCUCCAGAGCUGUGAUUAAACUCAGGUGCAAAACCCAUCUCAUUCAGAGCUGCGAUUCAACUCGUCUUCAAAACCCAUCUGUCAUUCGGAGCUGCGAUUCAAGGAUUCAAAACUCUUUCGCUCUUUGGCUCAUCGCUUUUAGAAUCGGAGCUGCGAUUCAAUUCUUGAAAACUCAAGUCAGUGCUCUCUUUCUCUCUCAUCCAUCUCGUCUCUGUGUUGGGUAAAGAAACCGACUCAGAGUAACAAGGCACACUGCAAUUACUUCAAGUUUACAGAUGUUGAUGAUGAGGACGUUACCUCCACAAUCCGUUCCAAUACCGGACCUCGUAAAGCUAUAACAACAGAAGAAUUAUACGAGCUAAGGGCAAUACUUUCUGAGAUGGAAAAUGAAAUUCAUGACCAUGGUAAAAGGCAUCAAAAGAUGGAGAAGAAAUGGAAGGUGAUGAUUUAUGUCAUUGUUUUUUAUAUGAUUUUGUAUUUGAUAAUGUAAAGUACUGACUUUGUUAGUUUUGGGGUAAUCUAUGUUGUAAUGAAUUGAAUGUGAGUAUAUUUUUGUAAUCUAUGUUGAUGAUGUAAAUUACUUUCUAUGUUGUAAUGAAUUGAAUGUGGAUAUAUUUUUGUAGAUGGAAAACAAUAUGUCGUUGAUGUUAUUUCA